Molecule: ribosomal RNA, 301 nt
Filed under: uncultured bacterium
Lineage: Bacteria
Description: partial 16S ribosomal RNA
Rfam family: Bacterial small subunit ribosomal RNA
Source: RNAcentral
CAGUCGCCGCGGUAAUACGAAGGGUGCAAGCGUUAAUCGGAAUUACUGGGCGUAAAGCGUGCGUAGGCGGUUUGUUAAGUCUGCUGUGAAAUCCCCGGGCUCAACCUGGGAAUGGCAGUGGAUACUGGCAAGCUAGAGUGUGUCAGAGGAUGGUGGAAUUCCCGGUGUAGCGGUGAAAUGCGUAGAGAUCGGGAGGAACAUCAGUGGCGAAGGCGGCCAUCUGGGACAACACUGACGCUGAGGCACGAAAGCGUGGGGAGCAAACAGGAUUAGAUACCCGAGUAGUACCUGUCUCUUAUAC